UUGACAGAAGAUAGAGAGCACGAAUAAUGGAAGCUGCAUGCACCUUAAUUCUUUGUGCUCUCUAUUCUUCUGUCAUCA
Molecule: non-coding RNA, 78 nt
Organism: Solanum tuberosum (potato)
Lineage: Eukaryota; Viridiplantae; Streptophyta; Magnoliopsida; Solanales; Solanaceae
Source: RefSeq, marked provisional